Molecule: long non-coding RNA, 1632 nt
Organism: Erinaceus europaeus (western European hedgehog)
Lineage: Eukaryota; Metazoa; Chordata; Mammalia; Eulipotyphla; Erinaceidae
Exons: 3
Source: RefSeq, a predicted model, not a curated record
GUUCUUGUUUUUUGUGUUAGACACAUAUACACCUACAUAUACUUUGCUCUUGUCUCAGAAAAACACACCCAGCAGUUAAUUUCAAGUAAAGUGAAUUCUUUGUGUGGCCUGCUAACAAAACAGACUGCCGUGCCUCAUCCCAUCGGUGAGUGUGUCUGGCGCUCUGCUGUGUGGUCUGUGCUGACUGGGCACAGGGGCCUGUGAGCUCUGUCUCCUGUAGACCUCACCCAGCUUGAGUCACCACUGCGUCACGGCAAUAGGAAGACAAACUUCUGCAAAUGAAAUGAAGAAGCUUGACUCUUCCUCCUUCCCAAGGCAUCCUUUGUAGCACCGAUUAGAAUUCUGUGGUCAUAACAUGACAACACAACAGCGUAACCCGCAGCUGCCCUCCAAGUUAUUGUUAGUCAGCAUUUCAAGAAUAAAUCUGCAAACUGAUGCAACGUCCUCACCUCCGUGCGCACGUACUAUCGGCCCCAUAAACACAGCCUGUCGAUGGGUCAGUGAAGAAUGGCAUUCAGCACACUCUGAGGGUUGGAGGAGCACCAGAGACAGAGGACUCAGCCUUAGGCUUGGAUCUGAGCAAGGUGAGAGGGCUGCGUGCUGAGGCUGCCCGAGCCUGAUUCUGAGCCACAGACUUUGUGAAACCCUGCAGUUCCCAAAAGAUGUGAGGGACAGGGCAGAGCUGGGGCCCUGGCUGGGAAUGCAAAGCAGGCUGAGGCAGAGAGGGAGUCGGCAUCUGGGCAGAGCUGAGGCAGCGGGACACCCUCCGAAACUGCUCGGACCCCUGGAGUGUCAGCAGCACCUGAGGAAGUAGCAGCGUGCGUAUGUGGCGGUGACCAUGGACUUCACAGACUGCUGGAGUCAGGUCCUCCAGAGGCGCCCAGAGACCGCAACUCCAGGUCGCCAGUUAACUCCAGAGGGACAAGGAGGCCUUCCCCCACCCACACUCCUCUUCCUCCUCCUCCUCCCCUUCCUCCUUGGCCGGUGAUUCUUUUCUCUCUCCCCCCACGCUUCUGUCCAGGGAUUUUCCUGCUUGUCUACCGAACCAAACCUCACCCACAUCACAGUCCUGACGGUGGUCCCGUGCUGGGUGGCCCUGCCUGGACCUGGGACUCAGACACUCUGAAAGGCCCUGUUGGCAGGCGAGUGAGGGCCGGCAGUUUGAACUCUGGUCUCUGUGCACCACCGCCUGCCCCUUAUUGAUUGGUUUUUAUGAGACAUUCAUUUUAUUAUGUUUAUGUAGAUCGUACUUAUAUUACAUAUCUAUUUUCUAUAUAAGAUAUACAUAUAUGUUAUACAUGAUAUAUAUUGUAUAUACAUACAUUUUUUAAACGUCUGUCUUAUGGUUGUGCUGGGGAUUGAACCUUCAACCUUGGAGCAUUAGGCAUGAAGACGUUUUGCAAGACUACUAUGCUGUCCCCCCAUAGACCUUGCCAUUUCUCUAUAUUUAAUACUAGGAUAUAGUUAAAUCGCUCAACAACACUAGAGGUUCAGAAGCACGUCCUUCCUAAUUGUAAGUAGCCUUAGUUUUUCAAAUGACUCAGAGAAAAAGAAAAGGCUGUAAGUGAGGCCCUGCUUGGUGACUGAACUCAGCUAUCCUCAGGCUGACUUCUGCCUCCCACAAACACAACU